AGACCCGAAACCCGGUGAUCUAGCCAUGGGCAGGUUGAAGGUUGGGUAACACUAACUGGAGGACCGAACCGACUAAUGUUGAAAAAUUAGCGGAUGACCUGUGGCUGGGGGUGAAAGGCCAAUCAAACCGGGAGAUAGCUGGUUCUCCCCGAAAGCUAUUUAGGUAGCGCCUCGUGAAUUCAUCUCCGGGGGUAGAGCACUGUUUCGGCUAGGGGGCCAUCCCGGCUUACCAACCCGAUGCAAACUGCGAAUACCGGAGAAUGUUAUCACGGGAGACACACGGCGGGUGCUAACGUCCGUCGUGAAGAGGGAAACAACCCAGACCGCCAGCUAAGGUCCCAAAGUCAUGGUUAAGUGGGAAACGAUGUGGGAAGGCCCAGACAGCCAGGAUGUUGGCUUAGAAGCAGCCAUCAUUUAAAGAAAGCGUAAUAGCUCACUGGUCGAGUCGGCCUGCGCGGAAGAUGUAACGGGGCUAAACCAUGCACCGAAGCUGCGGCAGCGACACUGUGUGUUGUUGGGUAGGGGAGCGUUCUGUAAGCCUGUGAAGGUGGCCUGUGAGGGUUGCUGGAGGUAUCAGAAGUGCGAAUGCUGACAUAAGUAACGAUAAAGCGGGUGAAAAGCCCGCUCGCCGGAAGACCAAGGGUUCCUGUCCAACGUUAAUCGGGGCAGGGUGAGUCGACCCCUAAGGCGAGGCCGAAAGGCGUAGUCGAUGGGAAACGGGUUAAUAUUCCCGUACUUGGUGUUACUGCGAAGGGGGGACGGAGAAGGCUAUGUUGGCCGGGCGACGGUUGUCCCGGUUUAAGCGUGUAGGUGUGUGUUCCAGGUAAAUCCGGUUCACUUUAACACUGAGGCGUGA
RNAcentral lists this ribosomal RNA (856 nucleotides) under Salmonella enterica subsp. enterica serovar Muenchen. Its description in RNAcentral is "partial 23S ribosomal RNA". It matches the Rfam family "Bacterial large subunit ribosomal RNA", at positions 711 to 1566 of the family's 2925-position model. Lineage: Bacteria; Pseudomonadati; Pseudomonadota; Gammaproteobacteria; Enterobacterales; Enterobacteriaceae. RNAcentral also lists the same sequence under 3 other names. The record is from RNAcentral.